UACGGGGGGGGCAAGCGUUGUUCGGAAUUACUGGGCGUAAAGGGCUCGUAGGUGGCCAACUAAGUCAUACGUAAAAUCCCUCGGCUUAACCGGGGAACUGCGUCUGAUACUGGAUGGCUUGAGGUUGGGAGAGGGAUGCGGAAUUCCAGGUGUAGCGGUGAAAUGCGUAGAUAUCUGGAGGAACACCGGUGGCGAAGGCGGCAUCCUGGACCAAUUCUGACACUGAGGAGCGAAAGCCAGGGGAGCAAACGGG
RNAcentral lists this ribosomal RNA (253 nucleotides) under uncultured bacterium. RNAcentral describes it as "partial 16S ribosomal RNA". It matches the Rfam family "Bacterial small subunit ribosomal RNA", at positions 524 to 776 of the family's 1533-position model. The record is from RNAcentral.